AUAUAAAUAAGCCUGGAGGUUGAGAGUGGUGUGAUGCCGUUGUUCGUCUCUCCACCGCCUCAUCCUUUUCGCCUUGAAACCCUCUGGAUGAAUCAAGGAGAAGAAGGGAUCACGAUCAAGAAGCGGCGAUUCCGCUUGAUCUCUGCAUCCCGCCCCGACUCCGGUGUUCGGAAAGAACUCUGCGGGAGUUGAGGUUGAAGACGACCACGAACAGAUGGCAGAAGAGCCGGUGUCGAAGAAAGCGAAAAGGAACUGAUCGAAUUUCUUGGAGGCGGCGGUGUCAUCGGCGGAUGAAAUAGGUAACCGACCGGGCCAAUGGCUUGAAAGCCGACGAAAAUGGGAACACCAGGCAGUCGGAGAUCGACGAGAACUUGCAUGGCCCAGAUCCAGCAGUAUAUGGUAGGGAGAGGAACCAUCGCCCCCUUGCAUCCAACGAUUUCAUCUCUUGGGCUUCAGGGUCCAGGCGCGAAUAUAGAUGGGUAAGCGACAUGAUUCUCUGCUGCCAUUGUCGGUGAUGCUGGUGUUGCUCUUCAUCGUGCCACAAUGCUGCAACUGUGUGCCUAGAAGCUGCCUCCAGGAUCUUAUUUGAAUCCAGUUCAGUUGGAAAAGGUUAGUUUCUAUUUCCUUCUGUAAAUGCUCAAAUAUUAGCAUCCUGUUUGUUGCAUUUCAUUUGACUACUAUUGUAUGGGAAGUAAGGAUAUUUUCUAUGGAGUGUAUAAUUGUCCUUUGGGUCUUUUUGAUGCUAUGGUCAUUGUUUUUUUUGGCUUGGUCAACUAAACCCAAUUUGUAUUUCCCAAAGCCAAACUGUAACAGACCAAGUUUCUUGGCCGUGGGUUAAUUUUGCCCAUGAUCUCCGUUGUGAGUUUGCCAAAUUUGCUAAAGUCACUCGAUGUCUAUUGAUUUUAUGCUGUAUUUGUUAGUUCAGAACUAUUUUGAUUGAUCUUGAUCUAUUUAUUUCUCUAUUGGAAGCUUUGUCGGCUGAAGUAGUUAGUAGAUGUGGGCUAAUUUUUGUUUCAGAUCAUUGGAUCAGACCAGAAUCGUGCCUUCUUGAACCAUUCGGUCUUUCAUAGAAUCGUGCAACGAUCAUUGUCUUUCUUCAAUAACAAGUCAAGGUUGAGAUUCCGUGAGUGUUCGUUCUCAUUUAUAAUCAGCUAGCUUUUGAAGGCCUUUAGCCUCGGUGUUCUUGUGCAUCUGAAUUUUCCGGUUUCUACAUUAUUUUGCUAAAUCAAAAUU
Molecule: long non-coding RNA, 1233 nt
Organism: Musa acuminata AAA Group (dessert banana)
Lineage: Eukaryota; Viridiplantae; Streptophyta; Magnoliopsida; Zingiberales; Musaceae
Exons: 3
Source: RefSeq, a predicted model, not a curated record